GAUGAACGCUGGCGGCGUGCCUAAUACAUGCAAGUCGAGCGAACGGACGAGAAGCUUGCUUUUCUGAUGUUAGCGGCGGACGGGUGAGUAACACGUGGAUAACCUACCUAUAAGACUGGGAUAACUUCGGGAAACCGGAGCUAAUACCGGAUAAUAUUUUGAACCGCAUGGUUCAAAAGUGAAAGACGGUCUUGCUGUCACUUAUAGAUGGAUCCGCGCUGCAUUAGCUAGUUGGUAAGGUAACGGCUUACCAAGGCAACGAUGCAUAGCCGACCUGAGAGGGUGAUCGGCCACACUGGAACUGAGACACGGUCCUGGCUCCUACGGGAGGCAGCAGUAGGGAAUCUUCCGCAAUGGGCGAAAGCCUGACGGAGCAACGCCGCGUGAGUGAUGAAGGUCUUCGGAUCGUAAAACUCUGUUAUUAGGGAAGAACAUAUGUGUAAGUAACUGUGCACAUCUUGACGGUACCUAAUCAGAAAGCCACGGCUAAGUACGUG
Molecule: ribosomal RNA, 497 nt
Filed under: uncultured bacterium
Lineage: Bacteria
Description: partial 16S ribosomal RNA
Rfam family: Bacterial small subunit ribosomal RNA
Source: RNAcentral